UGCCAGAAAAUUACAUAUGCAACGUUGU
Molecule: small RNA, 28 nt
Filed under: Bombyx mori (domestic silkworm)
Lineage: Eukaryota; Metazoa; Arthropoda; Insecta; Lepidoptera; Bombycidae
Description: ovarian small RNA-33667
Source: RNAcentral